CAAGACCUUGCGCUUUUGGAGCGGCCGAUGUCUGAUUAGCUAGUUGGUGAGGUAAAGGCUUACCAAGGCUUCGAUCAGUAGCUGGUCUGAGAGGACGACCAGCCACACUGGGACUGAGACACGGCCCAGACUCCUACGGGAGGCAGCAGUGGGGAAUUUUGGACAAUGGGGGCAACCCUGAUCCAGCCAUGCCGCGUGAGUGAAGAAGGCCUUCGGGUUGUAAAGCUCUUUCAGCCGGAACGAAAAGGUUACGGUUAAUACCCGUGACCAAUGACGGUACCGGAAGAAGAAGCACCGGCUAACUACGUGCCAGCAGCCGCGGUAAUACGUAGGGUGCGAGCGUUAAUCGGAAUUACUGGGCGUAAAGCGUGCGCAGGCGGUUUUGUAAGUCAGAUGUGAAAUCCCCGGGCUUAACCUGGGAACU
This 424-nucleotide ribosomal RNA is filed under the name uncultured beta proteobacterium. Its description in RNAcentral is "bacterial SSU rRNA". It matches the Rfam family "Bacterial small subunit ribosomal RNA", at positions 207 to 622 of the family's 1533-position model. The record is from RNAcentral. Lineage: Bacteria; Pseudomonadati; Pseudomonadota; Betaproteobacteria.